This is a long non-coding RNA of Lolium perenne, 1910 nucleotides long. RefSeq lists it as uncharacterized. Lineage: Eukaryota; Viridiplantae; Streptophyta; Magnoliopsida; Poales; Poaceae. The record is from RefSeq and is a predicted model, not a curated record.
UCACUUAUUACUCACCAAGUCAACACCUUCCCGACCCACUCUCAUUAUCUCUCACCUCACUCACGCGCAGGACCUCCCGUUCGAUCCCCUCUCACGCUCGCGAUGCCGCCGCCUGCCUCUCCGGUCGCUGCCGGGCGUCUCCGGCGCCUCCGCUACGCCGGCGCCCCGGAAUCCUCUUCUGGUUUACGGUUUACCGCCGCCGCGAUUCGCUAUCGCACCCCUCCCACAACCCCGCGAAACCCUAGCCCCAUUGUUCGGUGCUGGCGCCGGCGCGGCGCCCGUUCACCCGCGCCUCCGGCUGCGCCUCCACGUCGAUCUCGGUCGACCACGCUGCCUCAGCGACCUCUUGGACCCCGCGCCCAGGUCCUUCUCAGCACCAUCAACCGCGAGCUGCCGAUGCCGUCGACCUUGGUCGCUCUGCACCCCACUCCAACGUGCUCGUCGACGUGCUGCCUCCCGUGGCGCUCUUCAGCAUCUCGCUGCUCGGGUCUUCGGUGAAACUAACGUUUUAUUAUACUCGGCUCCUUAUAUCCAAUUUGGAGACCUUGCUCUCCACUGCUGUUGCAAUAAUGCAAGUGAGAAAGAAGGAACAAAUACGUGUCUCAACUCUUAGCAAGCCAGAAGUUGUCCACUUGGUAUGGGAACUUCCGCUUUCUUAAUAUACCGAUUUUCUGUAGAGCACUCGAAAGUUCUGACCUUUCAUUCUUGCGCGUCUACCUUUAGCACUUAAUCCCUCUCAAUCUUGUUAUAUUUGUUUUCAUGAUAUGCUGAAUUCUCAAGCCCUGUAACUCGGUUUUGUCAAACCAUUCUUCGUGAUUAGAACUGCAUGAUAAUAUGAUAUGCAUGAUUACUGCUCUUUCCUAAGUGAAUCUAUUUUUUUCCUUGCAAAUUCUCAGCUGAUUGACUUUGAAAGCUUUGUCUUGUAUUAUCCCUUUUUAGUAUGAAACUAUGGUUUGUAAUAUCUACAGUACCCCAUGCUGCAAUCAAUUUCCUUCUAAAGUGACUUUUGAAUAGUUUUGUUCUUUCUUACUCUUGCGAGUGUUCUGAUUUCAUGUCUAGCUUCAGUUUUCUUGUCAUCUUUAGUCAGCAAAAUUCUAUUUUAGCAUGCGGAGUUAGAAAAAUUAUGGUAAUUAUUCCGUCAUGUAAUGAACUAAUUUUUCCUGCUAUUACAGGUUGAUAUGAGAUCAUGCUUACCAAAAGCAAAAUUCAUGUUCCUGAUAUUAUUGUGAGUAUCCUUUGUGGGUUAACUAAUCUUACUCUGAAAAAAGGAGGCACGUUGAUUUCCUUCAGUGGGAUAGUGAUUACUUAUGUCAUUUUGAGUAUCUAAAUCUUUGUAUUCACUUUUUUUUUUUCAUUUUCCAUGUUCUGCUCUUUUAAUUCUGACUAUCUUCGUUUGCAUGAUCUCAUAUAUACUCUUGCUCAACGUGAUGUACAUUGUAUCUCUUGAGAAAUACCUUACAACACUGGUUUCCUUCAAGUAGCCACACUGUAAGCCUUGGAUUAAUGUGAAUCAUCUAUACUCUUGCUUAUUUGUAUUCUGGCAAUGUAUUGUUCUAUUUAUAUUCAAACUUUUACUUAAUGUUUUCAUUGUUAGUACAGUCAGUAAGACCUGUUUUUUCAAUGAAACAACAUUCUUUACUGGAAGCUUCAACUGGCAACGAAGACGAAGGCGAAAUUGAUGACAAGAACUCAUUCUGCAGCAGCUUCGACAUCGGAGAGAAAGACAUGAACUAUCUCGGGUUGGAGCUUCUGUCCUUGGCCUUGGUAACAAAGAUCAAAUCUGCUGACUCAUUGUUGGUAUAGUUACAUAAGAUAGACACUUCAUUUGUAAUUGCUGUCACUGUAAUUUGUGAUGUUAUUGUAAGGAAUUCAGCGUAAUAUUAAUUAUUAUGCAAUAUUGUUAUUUUUAA